AGAGUUUGAUCAUGGCUCAGGAUGAACGCUAGCUACAGGCUUAACACAUGCAAGUCGAGGGGAAACGGACAUCGAAAGCUUGCUUUUGAUGGGCGUCGACCGGCGCACGGGUGAGUAACGCGUAUCCAACCUGCCCACCACUUGGGGAUAACCUUGCGAAAGUAAGACUAAUACCCAAUGACGUCUCUAGAAGACAUCUGAAGGAGAUUAAAGAUUUAUCGGUGAUGGAUGGGGAUGCGUCUGGAUUAGCUUGUUGGCGGGGUAACGGCCACCAAGGCGACGAUCAGUAGGGGUUCUGAGAGGAAGGUCCCCCANAUUGGAACUGAGACACGGUCCAAACUCCUACGGGAGGCA
This 354-nucleotide ribosomal RNA is filed under the name uncultured bacterium. RNAcentral's name for it is "bacterial SSU rRNA". It matches the Rfam family "Bacterial small subunit ribosomal RNA", at positions 8 to 350 of the family's 1533-position model. The record is from RNAcentral.